GGCGGAGUGGCGCAAUGGUAGCGUGUGGUCCUCCUACAAGAAGGAUCAAGACUGAGGUUGUGGGUUCGAGUCCCAUCUUCGUCG
RNAcentral lists this transfer RNA (84 nucleotides) under Lasiosphaeria miniovina. It matches the Rfam family "tRNA". From Rfam's summary of the family: Transfer RNA (tRNA) molecules are approximately 80 nucleotides in length. The record is from Rfam by way of RNAcentral. Lineage: Eukaryota; Fungi; Ascomycota; Sordariomycetes; Sordariales; Lasiosphaeriaceae.